CCGGCCCCCCCAGCAGCCCACGAACACCGCGCCGGGUCCCCACCCCGCCCCUCCCGGCAGGCAGGGCGGCCUCCCCCGGCGGCGGGGCCCGCUCCUCCCCGGGGCCGGCGAGUCAGCUGACGGCAGCGGCGGUUUCCAUCAUGGCCGCCGGGCCGGGGCGGCUGUCGGCGGGGCAGGGGAGGCGGAGAGGCGCGGCGGAGGCCCGGAUCCUGCUUCUCCUCUGGUUCGCGGGUGCAGCCGUGGAGGGAGCGGAGGGCACGGAGCCGCGGCUCAAGUGCGACGAGCUGAGGCUGGGGCAAUAUAUGUGUGAUGAGCCUAAAAUAGACAACAGUACACAAGAACCUAUGAAUUGUACAAAUCACACAGCAUAUGUUCAAUGUCUGCCAGCACCAAAUAUAACUUGCAAAGAUCACCUUGGCAUAGAAAAAGUCUUUACAGGACAUGAAGUUGGAUUUUACAAGCCUAUUCCAUGCCGCAAUGUAAAUGGAUACUCCUACAAAGUGGCAGUGGCUCUGUCCUUAUUUCUGGGAUGGUUGGGAGCAGAUAGAUUUUAUCUAGGCUAUCCUGCAUUAGGUUUGUUAAAGUUCUGCACUGUAGGAUUUUGUGGAAUUGGUAGCCUAAUUGAUUUCAUACUUAUUUCAAUGCAGAUCGUUGGACCUUCCGAUGGCUCUAGUUACAUUAUAGAUUACUAUGGAGCAAGGCUUACACGGCUCACUAUUACCAAUGCAACAUUCAGGAAAAUGCAGACCUAUCCUUAAACCUGGCAGUAAGUGUCACAAAUGCAUAGGUGCAUUUUAUUUUUACAGAUGGAUCCAGUCGUCCACUGAAAUUGCUGAUGACUUAUUAAUUACACUUCAUCAGAACUGCAUAUUAAAUGUACAUCGAACAAAGAUGAUAAAAUAUGAAAAUUCCUCAAGUGAGUGAGUUUACCUCAAAGGUGCCGAGUUUCUUUGUGACUGCUCUAUUUCUGUGAGCACAUAGUUUGUUGCUAAGUUGUACCAUUUGUGAAAUGUGCAGACUUUUACAAUUUGCACUGAUGUUGUUCUGUGUCUGUAAGUAUAAUUUAGAGUGUUACAGAGAGGUGGAGAAAGAGUUGUUCAGAACAACUAUGCUGAUCUUUAGUCCAUUGAAAUUGAUGAGAGUUUGAGCAUGGAUGGGCCACGAUUACAUUUGGUGUCUGUUUUCAUAACUAUGCAUGGCAUUUUGUAAAUGAACUUAAAUAUCCCAAACCACAGAAACUGCCUUUCUUUCUAUCCUGUUAGUUAAAAUCCAGAUGGCCCUAAAUCUUGUGCUGGUGUAUUCUGUGAAAUUCCAUUAAUUGAAAUAAUUAUUUCUGUGAAGCUUAAAGACAAAUUUUGGUCAAGUUGCAAAAUUUGGUCAGUGCUGAUCAACAGUAGAAAUAUGGAUGCAUAAAAAAUGGAACCGUAGAUGACACAUCACAAAAAAGGAGGGUGCAUGCUGGGGUGCCCUGAGGGUAGAAUAGGAAAUAAUUGUUCUGCUUAUUUUGAUUUUUUCUUUUCCCCUCCCUUGCAACCAUCCAUGGUAAAAUACAUCCCUUCCUUUUCUGAGAAGAAAUUGGUGCCUGUGUUUUACAGCUACAGAAUGUCAAAAAAGUGAAUUCUUUGUACUAAUAAAGCCCUUAAAAGGUUCUGAUUUUAGAUCAGUUGUGUUUCAGUGAAAUAAAUUCUGUGUCCUUCAAAGCUGUUUGACCAAAGUCUUUAGGACAACCAAAAUUUACCUAGAUUUUCCUCUAAAGAAAAGUAUAUACACACAGAGGCAGAAAACAUGUCAACAGAAUCUUCAUGUUAUUUGACCAAUUUUAAACAUUCCUUUCACCUUCUAAUGAAAACCAGCAGUAAUGUAGUGAGAAAUCCACAUGAUAUAAACUUUAAUGUAGAUUUUUUUUCAAAAAUUUGGGCUGUUCUUUUGUUUUUCAGAUGAAGCUUUCAAAAUGUUAUUAAUGUGUCCACAAGUGGUAUUUUUAAGGGAAUUACAAAAAAUGAGAUUCCUCAAUUGAUUUUUAAAAGUGCAAUUUGUGGGUUUUACUCUCUUUUAAACCUACAUUAGGACUGUUGCACAGAAAGCUUUGUAAAGCUGGUUUUUUCCAAAUCGGCGUAACCUGACGUACCACGUAAUGAGAAUAAACCACAAGGAAUACUUUGUGCUUAACAUGAAUUCUUUCCUUCACGCAAGAAGGACGGAGUUUUGGAAUACUUGCUAACAUGCAUUUUACUUGUGGGUUCAAGGAGACAAGAACGCUCUGUUAGCUUCGUUCACUUGCCUGAUAUUUGUUGCAUCUCCCUUUUGUCUCUCUUUCAGUGAAUGCUCUUUGUGCAUGUCAGUUUUGUUUCCUGAAAUACUUUCAAAAACAGACAGGAAGUGGAUGGAAAAGAAAUGUUUCAAUCAAAUAAAAUCUCGUGGCUAAGAUCAUCCUGUGACUUGUCUGCUUUUUGUUUUUUAACCCUGAAGCUGUGAAAAUAGGAAGAUACCAUGGACAUUAUAAUAAAAAAAAUAGCCUUGGGCAAAUCAUCACACCAGAUUUCGUUCUAAAAUCUGUCUCCACAUGUACAAAACUGCUUUUCGUUGACUCUUGUUCAUGUAUCCACUACCUUUGGACAUCCUGCCACAAGUUCUCAAAGUACCUCUAGGAGGAAUUGGACUCUUCAGAGUUGAAUCAACAUCGUAACUUAGCAGGGAGUGGGGCGGGGAGGGAGAUGGAUCCAGCGCAUCCUCUCUGCUCUGACAGGGUAGUGGCUGUAAUCGGGCAAUAUACCUGUCCCCAACCAACAGCAGGACUAAACGAGAUGUGCAUUUUGUUACAUCUGAAAAGCACCGUUUCUCCCCUUGGAACCUGUGGCUGCUUCUCUUACACAGCUGUACUCCAGAACAGAGUCUUCUUCAAAGUUCCUCGGAUUUACCGUGGAGAAAACAUGGCAAGAACAUGUAAGAGGAGAUCACUGCCUGCGAAGAACUGACUGAGUGUUCACCUUGAGCCUGACAAGACUGCCCACCAUAUGGAUUGUGUUGGCAGAGGCAGAAGCCUGGGGAAUGCAGAGGUGGGGGGUAAUUUUUAGGGCUUGCAUUCCAUGGUCCCAUUGAUUAUAACCCUAUUAAGAGGAUGAUGCAUGCGACUUUUAAGUUAUUUUGUUAACUAAGUGUAAGCAAUGGAUGUGUCAUGCUAACAAACAUAAUUGCUGGUGUGUCUAAUACAGUAUGUAAGUACAGUAUAGUGAAUUUAAAAGGUUGUGGUAAUCUAAGAAUGUUAAAAGGGAAACGUGUGCCUGGGGGGUGUGGGGGUUGGGGAGAAAAACGACUUACUUGACAUUCACUGUCUUCCUCCCAGCUCCUUUGCUAAAGUAGGAACAGAAUCGGAACAAAAAAAUGUUUGUUUUACAGCUGUACCAAGUUACGGCGUGGACUCGUGCUCCCCCCCCUCCUCUCCCACUUGCAUCAAGUACAUCCUGUACUUUUGGCAACAUGUUGACUGGAUAUUUAAAAGCUGUGAACUGUUCUGAAAGUUUCACAUACUGGGUUAUGGGCCAUGUGUGUUUGAUCAAAAUUCAAUUACUGCACUGUACCAUGCUUGGAAACCUAUCAUCCCAAGUUAUGAAGUAUGACGAAAUAGGCUAAUCUAAUUGGUUCAGUAUGGGAGCAGUAUCAACCAAGCUUGUUAUGAUAAAUAGCUUCCUGUGUUAAAGGUUCUCUAGAGCUUAAGUAUCUUGGCUCACCUCCCUCUACAAAAUAAGAAUAGUGUUCCCUGGGAACAGUUACAUCACUGUCCCUCUCCUACAUUCACAAUUAAAGGUUUGUGGAUUUUUUUCAUCUUGCUAUUCCUUGAAUAGAUAAACUGUGGCCAUCUACCCCAUUCCCCACUUCCAUCUCCUUCCCCUUUCCUCAGGUUAGGUCAUGUUGUGCUUACUGUGAGUCUGCCUGGUCUGUUUCAGGGCUAGGUAAGGCAAGCUUGACCAGGAUGCCAAAACCCAUCCUGGGCCGGAGGCUGGGAUUUGUGUGCUGGUGUCAGUGCAUACGACAUGUCUGUUUGUAUAAAGAGUUGGAAUUUUUGAUGUUAAGUGAAACGUGGAAGCACUUUAAUCUUUCUAAGCAUCUAAUAAAAGAACUUUUGUAUAGUGAA
Aquila chrysaetos chrysaetos is the source of this 4132-nucleotide RNA transcript. It is a transcript of the gene named TM2 domain containing 1, with no coding region annotated. The record is from RefSeq and is a predicted model, not a curated record. Lineage: Eukaryota; Metazoa; Chordata; Aves; Accipitriformes; Accipitridae. The transcript has 9 exons.